AGUGAACGCUGGCGGUAGGCCUAACACAUGCAAGUCGAACGGCAGCACAGUAAGAGCUUGCUCUUACGGGUGGCGAGUGGCGGACGGGUGAGGAAUACAUCGGAAUCUACUUUUUCGUGGGGGAUAACGUAGGGAAACUUACGCUAAUACCGCAUACGACCUACGGGUGAAAGCAGGGGAUCUUCGGACCUUGCGCGAUUGAAUGAGCCGAUGUCGGAUUAGCUAGUUGGGGGGGUAAAGGCCCAGCAAGGCGACGAUCCGUAGCUGGUCUGAGAGGAUGAUCAGCCACACUGGAACUGAGACACGGUCCCGACUCCUACGGGAGGCAGCAGUGGGGAAUAUUGGACAAUGGGCGCAAGCCUGAUCCAGCCAUACCGCGUGGGUGAAGAAGGCCUUCGGGUUGUAAAGCCCUUUUGUUGGGAAAGAAAAGCAGCAGGUUAAUACCCCGCUGUUCUGACGGUACCCAAAGAAUAAGCACCGGCUAACUUCGUG
Molecule: ribosomal RNA, 492 nt
Filed under: uncultured bacterium
Lineage: Bacteria
Description: partial 16S ribosomal RNA
Rfam family: Bacterial small subunit ribosomal RNA
Source: RNAcentral